Molecule: ribosomal RNA, 2009 nt
Filed under: freshwater metagenome
Description: bacterial LSU rRNA
Rfam family: Bacterial large subunit ribosomal RNA
Source: RNAcentral
UCUGUUCUUGAGUACCUCGAGGAACGACUGCCUUGAGGGAAUCCGCCGGAACUAACCGGCAAGGCUAAAUACUUUUGGAGAUCGAUAGUGAACAAGUACCGUGAGGGAAAGGUGAAAAGCAGCCCUAUAAGGGCGUUGAAAUAGAUCCUGAAUCCAUAUACUUACAAAGAGUUGGAGCCGGCUUGUCCGGUGACAGCGUGCCUAUUGAAGAAUGAGCCAACGAGUUGAUGCAUAUUGCUUGACUAAGUCCGGUAAAAUCGGAUGGAGUCGAAGGGAAACCGAGUGUGAAUAGCGCGAUUCAACUUUUUAAUUUUUCACUGGUUAUCUUCAGUGAAAAAUUGAGAAGUUGAUUGUAUUAUGCAUCAGACCCGAAGCGUGAUGAGCUUGCCAUGAGCAGGAUGAACCCUCCAGAAAUGGAGGGGGAGGUCCGAACCGUUUAGCCGUGCAAUACUAUCGGAUGACUUGUGGUAAGGAGUGAAAAGCUAAUCGAAUUACGUAAUAGCUGGUUCUCUCCGAAAUAUCUUUUGGGGUAGCGUCGAGCUUACCCUCUGGGGGUAGAGCACUGGAAGGUCUGAAUAGGGAGAAAUCUCGUCAGUCCUAUCAAACUCCGAAUACCAGAGGUAACUGCUCGGCAGUUAGACUGCGGGGGCUAAGCUCCGUCGGUCAAAAGGGGAACAGCCCAGAUCUCCAGUUAAGGUCCCUAAAUCUAUGCUAAGUGCACUUAAGAAGGUGAAAUUUCUCUGACAAUGAGGAGGUUGGCUUAGAAGCAGCCAUCCUUUAAAGAAAGCGUAAUAGCUCACUCAUCAAGAGAUUUUGCAUCGCAGAUUAUCGGGGCUAAGCAUAGUACCGAAGCUGAGGGCUUUCGAUCCAUUCGUGGAUUGGGAGCGGUAGGAGAGCAUUCUGUACCGCUGUGAAGCAGAAGGGUGACCUUUUGUGGAGCGUACAGAAGAGAAAAUGUUGGCACAAGUAACCACAAUGCGGGUGAGAUCCCCGCACGUCGAAAGAACAAGGAUUCCUUGGCAAUGGUAAUCAACCAAGGGUUAGUCGGGCCUAAGCCGAUGGCGAAAGCCGCAGGCGAUGGACACAUGGUUAAUAUUCCAUGACUUCUGUAUGUUUCGAAGGAGGGACGGAGUUCAGUAUGUCUAGUGCAUAAUUGGAUUUGCAUUCGUGCAGUUAAGGAUAGCUCUUAGGCAAAACCGGGAGCGUUAUUCCAAGCUGAGCGAAAAUUCCGAGGGCAACCGAGGGAAAUUAGACAAAGCGGGCUUCCAAGAAAAACUUCUACGAUUAAGCAUAUAGAAACCGUACCGCAAACCGACACAGGUGUUCAGCUCGAGUAGAGUAAGACGAACGAAUGAAAGAUCCUCAAGGAACUCGGCAAAAAAGCGGCCGUAAGUUCGCGAUAAGGCCUGCCCACUUCAUGUGGGCCGCAGCUAAAGUAUCCCUGGCGACUGUUUAUCAAAAACACAGCUCCCUGCGAACUCGCAAGAGAAAGUAUAGGGGGUGACGCCUGACCAAUGCCAGAAGGUCAAAUAAGACUGGUGAGAUUACAUCAAGCUGGUUUUAUAAGCCCUGGUGAAUGUCGGCGAUAACUAUAAUCGUCCUAAGGUAGCGCAAUUCCUUGUCGGGUAAGUUCCGACGUGCACGAAUGGCGUAACGACUGGGGAACUGUCUCGAGGAUUUAUUCGGUGAAAAUACAGUGGGGGUGAAGAUGCCCUCUUCCUGCAGCUAGACGAAAAGACCCCAGAAGCUUUACUAUAGCUUGAUAUUGAGUAUGAGUUUUUACUGCGUAGCAUAGAUGGGAGGAUUUGAAGCAAGGGUUUCGGUUCUUGUGGAUCCAACAGUGAAAUACCAUUCUGUGAAGAGUCAUAUUCUAACUUGUCCGGAAAAAACGGACGAAGACAGUAUCUGGUGGGUAGUUUUGGUGGGGCGCUAUCCUCCUAAAAAGUAACGGAGGAGUCUAUUAAGGUUGGCUAGGCGCGAAUGGAAACCGUGCCGAUAGUGUAAUGGCA